ACUUGCUUGGUGUAGUGGUAACAUGCUGGAUAUAAUAUUAUCCAGUGGUCACCUGUUCAAAUCUUGUUUUGGGCA
This is a non-coding RNA of Mycena olivaceomarginata, 75 nucleotides long. NCBI's taxonomy places the organism in Eukaryota, Fungi, Basidiomycota, Agaricomycetes, Agaricales, Mycenaceae. The record is from the annotation of a GenBank genome assembly.